AGUAAAUUGGUUAAGUUAGAAAGGGCGCACGGUGGAUGCCUUGGCACUAGGAGCCGAAGAAGGACGGGACUAACACCGAUAUGCUUUGGGGAGCUGUACGUAAGCGUUGAUCCAGAGAUUUCCGAAUGGGGGAACCCACUAUCUUUAGUCGGAUAGUAUCCUUACGUGAAUACAUAGCGUGAGGAAGGCAGACCCAGGGAACUGAAACAUCUAAGUACCUGGAGGAAGAGAAAGAAAAAUCGAUUUCCUGAGUAGCGGCGAGCGAAACGGAAAGAGCCCAAACCGAGAAGCUUGGUUCUUGGGGUUGUGGGACACUCUAUACGGAGUGACAAAAGAAAGUUAUAAAUGAGGCGGUCUGGAAAGGCGCGCCAAAGACGGUAACAGCCCGGUAGUUGAAAUGGCUUUCCCUCCAGAGUUGAUCCUGAGUACGGC
Molecule: ribosomal RNA, 432 nt
Filed under: Escherichia coli
Lineage: Bacteria; Pseudomonadati; Pseudomonadota; Gammaproteobacteria; Enterobacterales; Enterobacteriaceae
Description: bacterial LSU rRNA
Rfam family: Bacterial large subunit ribosomal RNA
Source: RNAcentral